UAUAUGUUUAUAAAAAUAAAAUUUAAUACAUAAAUUGUUAACGGUAGAUACAGAAUUUUUGUAUAAGGGUUCACAAUGCAAUAUGAACCCUGGUCCAUGGUAUAACAAUUGAGUAUUAUAGUUAAUGUGUGUUGUGUUGAUUGAUGAUGAUUGAGCAAGCUGAUGAAUGCCUGCAUGCAAGGGUGAAUAAUUGAAGUCCAGUUGUGUUGAUGGGAUGAUUACAAAUUAAUAUUCUUGGAAUGAAAUGUAGGUAUAUGCUCAGGAACUGCUCAUCUAAGGCUAAUGCCAAAGCAUUUUUGUGUCCUCCACUGAUAAAGAAGACUUGAGUUCUGCCAUAAUCUUGAGAGCAAGUGUUUUUUGUAGGAAAAGUACUUUAGGUAUACUGUGGAUGGAUGAAAACUGAAAAGUGCUUCAGUUUAGACUUAAAAGAAAGAUGCAUAGAUGAUGAUGAUGUUACAUGAACAGAAGUGACUAAAAAGUGCACCACGGGACUUAGCUCAAUGAUUCAAGGGUCACCGUAAAAGUCUUGUUCCAGUGGCAGGGUGGAGAUUUGAUUCCCACUGAAGACAUAAUCAGAGGUAAUAAAGACUUCUUGUGCGCAGAGUGGACAUAAAAGGGUGAACACAAUUUAGCACUGAUUGGGCGACUCACGAUUUACCUCCUCCAGUGCCCUUAUAAUCAGAGGUAAUGAAGAUUUCUUGUGUGCAAAGUGUACAUAAAGGGGCGAAGAUUUCUUGUGUGCAGAGUGUACAUAAAGGGGCGAAAACAAUUGAGCACUGACUGAGCGAUUCACGAUUUAUCUCCUCCAGCACCCUUGGGUAGGGAUUUUGAGGACUUGGGAGAAUG
This is a long non-coding RNA of Ipomoea nil (Japanese morning glory), 846 nucleotides long. RefSeq lists it as uncharacterized. The record is from RefSeq and is a predicted model, not a curated record. NCBI's taxonomy places the organism in Eukaryota, Viridiplantae, Streptophyta, Magnoliopsida, Solanales, Convolvulaceae. The transcript is spliced from 3 exons.